CCUGGUGGUUAUAUCGAAGGGGCAACACCCGUUCCCAUUCCGAACACGGCAGUUAAGCCCUUCGGAGCUGAUGGUACUGCACAGUUUCCUGUUGCGGGAGAGUAGGACGCUGCCAGGU
This 118-nucleotide ribosomal RNA is filed under the name Candidatus Raymondbacteria bacterium RifOxyA12_full_50_37. Lineage: Bacteria; Candidatus Raymondiibacteriota. The record is from RNAcentral. RNAcentral also lists the same sequence under 5 other names.